AAGGAGAGACUGAGGCCGAGAGUUCUUUUUUAAUUUAUUUUAAGAAGCAGAGAUAUGGAUGGAGGCAAAUUGGUUGCAUUGUGCAUUUCGCUCUGUUGACUUGCCCCCUGGACCACCACCACGAGGCACGUGGAAGAUUGUUUUUUGUCCAACAGUUCUCAGACUUUUCCUGCGUAAGACGUAGUUUACUACUACUCUGCUAUGACAAGGAGGUCGGAUGAGUUCGCUGUUUUUCAGACGUUGCCGUCCCUGCCUAUGAUAAAAUGGCGUGGGCGUUCUGCCCCUCUGUAUUUCUUUGGUUGCUAGGAUGCAUUCUGAGUCCAGUGCAGAUUUACUCUCAUAUAUAUUGCCAGGGCGUGGAAGUUAAUUUGAAUUGAUGUGUGUCAUCUUUCCCUUGUGUGAAGGACAUAAGUGUGAAAUAUUUUGGUUGCAUGGAGGGUAGGAGUGCCUGCAAGCAUGUGGGAUACUAUAGCAGUUGCCCACUUUUGGUUCCUAGUGACCAAGUAUGGGGUGUUCGUAGCAUGCCUCACAAUGCCACAAGGAAGACCUCAGGCCCUCGUGCGAUUACCUUGCUUUCCGAGGAGGUGUACGGUUAUAGAUUUAGUGGGAGUGCCUAGUCUGUCUCAAAGAGUAGUUUGAGAUCAGGGGAUGUACUGAGUAGCAACUUUCAUGUGAACUGUAGCUGUAGUGUGUGUUUACUGGUAUCAACGAAGACAUGGAGGACUAAUUUGUCUGAAUAUCAGCGUUUCAGAAGAUCAGUUGUGUGCGUGAUGGGGAAGCAGCUUUUUUGGAGUUGGAGAUGUGAAGAACCAGACAGAACAAAGCACCUGUAGUGUUUGUGACUUGGAUAAGGAAUUGCAUUGUUCAGGUCGUGGAGACAGCAUGUAUUGCUCUGAAGUCAAGCACGACGGAUCCGUUACCGUCGUCAGUGCUGGGAAAUAAUUUGCUGUUUCUUGGUGGCAUCCCUGAAUUUUAAUGAAGAUGAGAAUACAGUGCAGCAGCUUUUCUCCUGUCCAAGUUCUGAUGAUCCACAUGUGGAGAUCUCCGCAGUCCAUGGGAUUGCGUGCAGAUUGCAGGACAAGCAA
Zootermopsis nevadensis is the source of this 1085-nucleotide non-coding RNA. Lineage: Eukaryota; Metazoa; Arthropoda; Insecta; Blattodea; Termopsidae. The record is from RefSeq and is a predicted model, not a curated record.